This 1004-nucleotide long non-coding RNA is filed under the name Zostera marina. Its description in RNAcentral is "long non-coding RNA (ZMAR_LNC002339)". The record is from RNAcentral. Lineage: Eukaryota; Viridiplantae; Streptophyta; Magnoliopsida; Alismatales; Zosteraceae.
AUACAUUGAUUUAUGUAAAUAUGUAAUAGAGCACACUUUAAGUGUGUCAAAAAUUGAGUGUGUCGAAUACGUCAUACAAUGUAAUACGAAUAUAACUCGAAGAUAAUGUAACAUACAACGUCGUUGUACAGAAUUUAAUUGUUGAUGAAUAAUACAUUGUCAGUCGACGGAUUAUGAUCUAACGGUCGAAAAAGUUUCACUUAAAUAUUACGAAACUAGAAGGUUUGACACAUAAAAGGUUUGACACAACUGAAACUAGCUCAAAUGUAAUAUUACGAAAGAAAAGAUAAACACUUAAAUAUUUAAAAAUUAUAAUAAAUCACUAUAAAUUACAAACUUACAACCUACAAAAGUACAAACACCUAAAAAAAAAUAACGGAAAACUCGCCUGAAUAAAAAAAACCUAACGACACUCAUAUCCGUCCAUGGCCGAUUUCGAUAUUCAUCCUUCAGGAACCUUCUGAGGAGCGGAUAACGUGAAGAGAGACUCUAGAUCCGUCGGGUAGAAAUAUGCAGCGACGAUCUUCGGUUGUGAUUUAAACAAACACUGCGUUGAUUUUAUCUUCAUCUUCUUCUUCCUCGGAGGCGGCGGACAUGGAAGUAUCGUCGGAAUCCGGUGCUCUCUUCUCGUCGGCGUCUGCCAUCCUUCUUCCUUCUCCAUUCCCAUCUCUCUGUUUGAGUUUCAGGUUGUAUAUAGGGGCGUGCGUACUGAGUUUUUUAUAGCCAUUUAUUUUCUCCGUUUGACACGUGGAGGAUUUUGAUUUGGCUGAGUGCUUAUGUGGCGGGAAUUGGAGGCGGGAACGUUGAAUUUGGAUUGAAAUCGUGGCCGUUGGUUUUGUUUGGAAAUGAAGAUAGUGUGCUUCCUUAGAUUAUUGUGGGUAUUUAUUUCAUUUUUCGAAAUGGUAGGUAUUUUAUUAUAUUUGAUUUUUGAGUUGAAUCAAUGGAUUUGAUCUGUGGGCUCCGACUGAGUAAUAAAUAUGCACCAUGAAGGUGCGACCCAACCA